RNAcentral lists this unclassified non-coding RNA (398 nucleotides) under uncultured bacterium. RNAcentral describes it as "partial contains 16S ribosomal RNA and 16S-23S ribosomal RNA intergenic spacer region". The record is from RNAcentral.
CCCCACUCCUACGGGAGGCAGCAGUGGGGCCGACUCCUACGGGAGGCAGCAGUGGCACUCCUACGGGAGGCAGCAGUGGGACUCCUACGGGAGGCAGCAGUGGGCCCACUCCUACGGGAGGCAGCAGUGGGACAGUUGGCUCAGAACGAACGCUGGCGGCUGGCUCAGAACGAACGCUGGCGGCUGGCUCAGAACGAACGCUGGCGGCUGGCUCAGAACGAACGCUGGCGGCCGGCAGUGGGACUCCUACGGGAGGCAGCAGUGGGACCUUGGCUCAGAACGAACGCUGGCGGCUGGCUCAGACGAACGCUGGCGGCCCACUCCUACGGGAGGCAGCAGUGGGCCCCACUCCUACGGGAGGCAGCAGUGGGCACACUCCUACGGGAGGCAGCAGUGGG